Non-coding RNA from Theobroma cacao (cacao), 2984 nucleotides. The record is from RefSeq and is a predicted model, not a curated record. Lineage: Eukaryota; Viridiplantae; Streptophyta; Magnoliopsida; Malvales; Malvaceae.
CGCGUUUUGUAGUGUAGGUGUCUGUGCCGCGCUUGUUUCUCUCCUUUUCAACGGUUACUUGUUUUGGUUUCGAUUCGGAGUUGGAUUUGAAUUGCGUUUUUAGAUCUUUCCUAUUAGAUCUAUCGAAAUAGUGAUUGAAAUCGGUUGAAUGUCGGAAUUUGUGUUUCGUAGGUUGGCUGUUCUGGGAAUGGACGGUGAUCUUGUGAUUCUGUUGGCGUCGAUCCCCUGGGAUGAUGAUCGUACAUCUAACUCUAUCUCAGAUCUUUCUUGUUAGAUUUAUCGAAAUUGUGAUAGAAAUCGGUUAAAUCUCGGAUUUUGUGUUUCGUAGGUUGGCUGUUCUUGGAAUGGACGGUGAUCUUGUGAUUUUGUUGGCGUUGAUCCGUUGUGACGAUGAUAGUACAUCUAACUCUAACCUUUUUUUUUUUUUUGAGAUCUGACUAAAUCGAUCAGUUUUGAUGUUUAUUCUUCUCGGAGUUUUUAGAAAAGUUUUGGUACCGUUCAAUUUUGAAACAUAAUGAAUAUUGGCUCUCUUUUCAGUUAAUCAUCUGGUGCGGAUGGACAGAUGGUUCUUUGGGUUCCUUUCCUUUAUUACGAGUUCUAUAUCUUGUUUUGUUUUGGAACUUUGGUAGAUGUUACAAUAUAUGGUUUCUGACUGCAGUGAUGCUGCUGGCUUUGCUUUUCUAAAGUGCUGAUCCUUGAACUUCCUUAUGGCCGUGAUCGCCGACCUCUAUUUUGAUUAAAUCGAUCUGUUUUGGUAUUUAUUCUUCUCAGAGUUUUCACAAAAGUUUCGGUACCGUUCCAUGUUGAACAUAACGAUGAUGUUGCUGGCUUUCCUUUUCUAAAGUGCUGAUCCUUGAAAAUUUCCUCAUGGCCGUGAUCACCACUAUCACUAGGGCUGUUUCUCCUUCCACGUUGUGAAUAAUUUUUUCUUUUGAAGUUAAUUAGUAAUAUGUCAGGAGAUGAAAGAUUAUUCGUACUUUUUGUGAAUUUUGGUAGGAAUUUUUCUGCAAUUUCUGUGGGUUAGUCACAUUAUGUUGGGAGUGUGAAAAAUUUUAUAUAUUGGAUCAAUGGAGUCUGAAGAGAGAAAGGGGUAAGUGAAUGCAGAGACAAUUGAUGGUAUGAUUCAUCAAUGGAAUUUAUCUUGAUGUUUUACAGGCAGUGAUCACCUUGCUUAAUGCAUUUUUGCAGAUGCAUAGACAAUUAAUGAUCAUGGUCAAUGUUAUGUCUUCACAUGAUAAUUCAUAAAUAUGGUGUUUUCAGACAUGAUAACCUUGCUCAGUGAUCUUCUUUAUGUGUUUGUGUUUUUAAGGUGGGAAAGACAUUUUCAGAUUUCAAGUUUUUGCGCGUUCAAAUUUUGGGCUUUUGUAUCUGGACAUUUGCUACCGAACAGUUUUUUAUCAGUGGUGGAAAAUUGAUCAUGGCUUUUAUCAGUUUGCUUGAUAAAGGCUUUCGUGUGCAGUGGUUGGCUGGGCAUUGUGAUGGGGAAAAAUUUAAGUCUUCAUUCUUGCUGUUAAUUUCUUGUUCAUUGUUGCAAGAUCUUUUACUUUGAUCCUUCUGUUUUAAAACAAAUUUAAAAAUUAAAGCCGUCUGCCCUUUGUGUGCCUUGUUUUUCAGUUGACCAUUUUUUCUCUUGACAAAUCUGGACUCCUGGUUUUCAUAGGCAGUUUUUGACAGCAGCAAUUUUGAAAUUCUACCUUAAGCAGAUAACACAAAUAUACUAUGGUUACUUACAACUAUUUUUAUAAAUAUUUUCGCACCCUUGAUUAGGAUUUCUUGGAUUUUAUUGAUUUGAAUAUCUUUUAACGGUUUUGUUUGAUCAGGGUCAGUUGGAUUUUAAAUUUUGGAGUCCUGUCUCAAUUCCUAAGGAGAUCUGCUUCCUGGUUCUUAUCGUGUCUCUUCAAAAUUUUUAGUUUGGAGCUUUUAGCAUCUCGUGUAGUUAAUGUCACUGAGCAUUAUAUGGCUUUUUGACCCUUUUAUUGUUUUAGAUGCUGAUGUGUAAUCAGUUUUCAAAAUUAAAAGCAGGAAGGGCAAGGAUGAAGGAUCUUGCUGCAGUUGGAGUGGGCUGUUGUUAGAAAUUACGACCAUUACGUAGGGAGAAUGAGAUCAUAUAUAGCUUUGUUAUCUCUUUAUGGAUGGAGCUUGGGAUGGAGGCAUUGGGUAAGUAGAUGAGGAGUCAAGGCCAAUUAAUUGUUUAUGUCUUACAUUUACUUAAAAUCUGCUUAAUAUAACUCAAGAUAAGUACAGGUUUGUGCUGUAGAUUUAGGUUUGGAAAGAUUCUGGCGGUCGCUUGUUUCAAAAGGUUGCGGACAACCUUGCUGGUUGGGACAGUAAUCUUAUUCAGACUUUUCUCUUGUGUUCAUGAUAUAUAUGAGUACUUUUGUGAUUGUAGGUAGCAGAUAUUUCUUAGGUUUUAAAAGUUCUGCACUAAUGUAUAUUCCAGUUGUGCUUUCAUUUCUUGGAUUUGUGAAGUUUGGAUUUAAUUUGUAAUUUUUACUACAUGUUGGUUGGGCUUUACCAAUGGAGAAAUUUUUACUCAGCCGUCAUUUCUGCUAUGGAUUCCUGUGUUCUGUGUACUUUUAACUUUUACCUCUUUAUACAGUUUUUUUUUUCUUCUUAAUUGUUUCCACCAUUUUUUAGGACUCUUGGUAUCUAAGACUUCCAUUGGAUUUUCUUGGAUUUUCGCAUCUCUCUGGUAUACUUAAUUUUGGAGGAUUUUGUUUUGGUACUGAGCAUGAUAUGCCUUUAUGACCCUUUUAUUUUCGGAUUCUGUUUGGGGAUUUUGCUUUAUGACCCUUUUAUUUGCAAAAUUGUAAGGAUGAAGGAUUUUGCUUUUGCUUGGUCUUAAAAUCUGAUUUGCAUUAUUGCUUGGAAGGUAGAUAGGUUUAUAAAGUAUAGGCAGCAGACUUGAAGCUUGUUAGAAAUUUUACUUGCAUUUUUUUUUCUUUAUUUUGGUUAUAUUUUUAUUGUAUUGCACAAAAUUGUAA